CCAUAAAGUUUCGUGUGGGUUGUCGUGUCAGGUGUUUUGACAGAUUGCUUGCGUCGUUUAAUGGAGUGAGAGAUUUGAGCAAGCACUCAUGUGCAUCAACCAGACAGAGCACAACAGAGAACAACAACACUGAAAUAGCACAAUUAUUUUGAACAAAAUAUUCAUUUCAACCAAAUGUUCGUUGGAUGUCACAUUUAGAUUUAAUGAUGAGAGUAAUGAGACAAGUGUGAAUCUGCAACAAAACCACCACCACCAAAUUGAUUUUAAUUCAAAUUAUAUAAAUAAAUGUAUUAAAAAAUCUGAAGUCAUAAAAAUCCACAUGAACUAUUUUUCAAAAGUUUGUAGUCAGUUAAAAAAAAAGAAAAAAAAAAAGAAAAAAAAGAAAAAAGGUAUGUGUACCAAGACUGCAUUUAUUUGAUCAAAAAUACAGUAAAAAUAGUCAUUUUAAAUUGUGAAAUAUUACAAUGUUACCGUUUUCUAUUUGAAUAUAUGUAUUUUUUAAAAAUUAGUGUUGGCAAAGCUGAAUUUUCAGCAUCAUUAGUACCGUCUUCAGUGUCACAUGAUCCUUCAGAAAUCAUUCUAAUUAUAUAAAUCAAUGAUACUUUUUUCUGCCAAUAUUUUUUGAUGAAUAGAAAGUUCAAAAGAACAGCAUUGAUUUGAAAUGUAAAUCUUUUGUAACAAUAUUAAUGUCUUUACUGUUGUUUUUAAGCAAUUUAAUAAUAAUUUAAUGCAGGCUUGCUGAAGAGCAGUAUUAAAAAGUAUUCAAAACUAUUAUAAAUAUAUACACACACAUGUAAAUUUAUUGAAAAUCUGAACACAAACAAUAUUCCUGUCUCGUCCCCCAUGAUAUAUCAUUUUACAUACCGAUUGGAGGAAAAUAUUACACAAGAUGUGCAAUAACCUACAAGCAUACAAUAAAAAAAAUUCUUCAUCCAAUCAAUCAAAAUACUGCCUUUUUUGAUGAUGAUGAAACAGUAAUUAGACACAUUAUUGGAUCAUUAAAAAAAAAGCUGUUAAUUGCCUCCCUGGUCGUGGGAACAUAGAAACAGUCACUAAUGGUUCAAAACUGAAAGCAUAAGUGGAAUAGGAAAAUGGUAGACAUGAAUGCGUGGCGUAAAAAGUGUUCAUUUGAAAUGAUGGGAAAAGGCCAGCUUGUAAAAGUUAUGGCUGAAUUCACACCUCCCUUAGCAACAAGCCCGGUUCCCACACAUCCAUUAUUCAUAGAUUCCAGUCUGAUGCCUCUCCAAACGUUUAACGAUAUAAUCUGAGGUAAUCUAACGAAAUAUAAACUCUGGAGGGGAGAUAAAUUUCUCAGUUGUUGGCAAGCUUUUGUAAAUGCUUAGCACCUUUAAUUUAGGCCCAGUCAAGCGCGCUAAAGUAAGAUGAAGAAUCAUUUCUUUACACGUAUAUGCUUAAAGCCAGCGUGCCGGAGGACGUUCAGGAGGAUAUUGCUCUUCAUCCAUUUUGUCACAGGAUUGUGAAGCAUCCAUUUAAAUAGCUAAUGUGCGAGCCUAGCCAGCACAAAUCACAGGACGCUUCAGAGACAGAAUCAGCACAGGAGACGGAGGAUACGAGCUGCCAGGGGCAUAAACAUCCUAUUUGCUUUUAUAAGGUAAUUAGAAACCACUCUCUGAAGGUAUGAGACCACGAGCAAUCUGAUUAUAUAACAACGAUACCUGGAUGCUUUGUUUUAAAAGGACGUCGACCUUGAGAAAUGAGCAUCCAGAUGAAAUGUAAUGGAUCUCAUUUGGACCGCGCUCCUUUACGAGAUGCCUUGCAUAUUUACUAUGUAAUGGAUCUCAUUUGGACGGCACCACUUUACGAGAUGGCAUACUUAUUUACAGGCAGGCAGUUCUACCCACACAAGCACAAAAUACGUAAUAUGGAAAUAAUUGGGUUGUACAACAGAAAAGAAAUGUUUUACAAUGUUUUCAUGUGCGUCUGAUCAGUCUAGACUUUGUGAAAAUGUUUCAAAAGGAGCAAGCUUUUUAAAGAAGGUAGAUAUCUUCCUUUUAUAACAUGAUUGUCAUUUAUUUUUUGCAGACGUCCUCAUGAAAAUAAAGGAAAGUACACUACAGACGUUUCCAAACACCACACAAUUUCUGUGCAUAGUUGAUACUAAUGAAAAUGCAAAGCAUGCUUGCACAAAAAAACAAAACAAAACAACUGAGUGACUGUGCAGACAUCUCAUAAAAUGAAGCUGAAUACUAUCAUCUUUUGAAACCCAAAAGCAACAUUUGCUACUUUUGAAACAUUCAAGCAAAUUUUAGGUAGGUCAGAAACAUAUGAUAAACCGGUAUGCGGAAAGAAAGAGGAAGUGGCUUGCAAUUUGCAACAAUCCUUUAAAAUCCCCCUGUGGAAAUAUCAAGCUUUUAACAAUUAUAUAUAUGUCUAUGUGGUGUUUUUAAUGUAAGAAAACUGCAGUGAACCAAAGACAGUCUCAAAAAUGCGGUUUGAAAUCACUGGAGUUUCUGACGUCACAAACUUCCUUGUAACCAAUCAUGUCAACAUGUGAUCGUCAACUAGUGGGUGGAGGCGGGGCUAUUUUGCAUAUUCAUAGAUGAGGCAAGGGUGUAGAGUUAUAUUCAAGCUAUUUUAAAGGGUUAGUUCACCCAAAAAUGAAAAUUCUGUCAUUACCAAUCAGUGGUUCGGAGCAUGAAAGUCACGUGAUUUCAUAAACGAGGCUUCGUUACGACAUAAGUGUUUUGAAAUUUCAAUGGUUCACAUGACUUUGGCAGUUUGAUACACGUUCCAAACCACUGAUUUGAAACAAAAGAUUUGUAAAGCUUCAUGAAGCAGUUUUGAUAUCGCUCAUCACUAGAUAUUGUUGAAUAAAGUCAUUAUUUUGUUUUUUUGGCACACAAAAAGUAUUCUCAUCACUUCAUGACAGUAGUCACAUGAACUGUUUUAAAUAUAACUUUAGCUGGAAAUGCAGGACUCACUGAGCCAUCGGAUUUUAUGAAAAAUAUCUUAAUUUGUGUUCCGAAGAUGAAUGAAGGUCUUACGGGUGUGGAACGAUAUGAGGGUUUAUCCGAAGUCAACCGGAUUCGGGCCGUAUCCAGGUGAGAUCGAGGACCUGCGCCUUGACACGACCACAAUGCAGCCCUGAAAUAUCAGCAGAGAUUGAGUCAACUAGAUCAUCCAUUGUGAAGGCCUCAUCGACAUGACAGCCAGUGGCACAGCUCCUCAACAAACCGUCCAUACCGGCGUGAUGAAUACGAUCCUCAACUGGAUGGAACUGGAAUAAAUACUUUGAAUGUUGCGAUCCUAUCGGACUUAUGAUAGCUACCUGAAUCGUAACAAAGCACUGUUCACCAGAGGAGAACUGGCCCCCCGACUAAGCCUGGUUUCUCCCAAGGUUUUUUUCUCCAUUUUAACACCUGUUUGCCACCUGAUGUCACCUGUUGGAGUUCGGGUUCCUUGCCGCUGUCGCCUUUGGCUUGCUUAGUUGGAGACACUUGACAUUUGAUAUUCAACAGUGCUUUGAUCUGCCUGCUGGGCAGCCAAAAUUAUAUACCAGUUAUCACUGUAAAGCUGCUUUGACACAAUCUGCGUUGUAAAAAGCGCUAUAUAAAUAAAGGUGACUUGACUUGAGUAUCGAUUUCUCGAUUUUAAUCUAUUUUCAUUUUUACCAACCGAUAUUGAUUCUUAAAUCUUAAGAAUCGAUUAGUCUAGUCAGUUUUCAGUUGAUGAAUGAACAGAACAUGUAGCGCACCUCCCAUCCAAUAAAUCGCAAUAAUCUUUGUGCUUUAUUACUUUUGAUAUGAAGCUAAGUCUAAGAUUAUAAGAUUAUAAGAUCUUAUAAGAUUCAAAAAAUAUAUACCGUUUUGGCGCUGUUUAAUGUGGCAGAUCGCUUUAGCGCCUCAGUUAAAGAGAAGCGGCAGCACGGAGCGCAUGUGAAAAUCCUCUCCUCCACUUUAAUACCAGUUGCAGCGUGAAAUAAACGUGACUAAACAUCUGAAGGUAUGUUAAAAUAUACAGUACAACUUACCGAAAUCCGUAUCAUGUCUCGUGUAAUAGCUCAAUCAGUGUUUCAACCUCGGAAAGACGUCAAUAAAACAGCUUGUAAACAAUGUCACGUAACAUCACAUUUACCUCAGAAAAACAUUCAGUGACCAUAAACUCAUUAGUCGGCUAGAAAAGUGAACUCUAGAGAGCAGCAUUCUGAUAAAUAUAGCUAUGCACUGUUAUUCAUUAUAAUGUUCUUCAAUAUUUAAUGCAUGUUUGAAUAAAUCAGUUAUGACAGCCAUGACUUAAAUUUAAAAAAAACAAAAAAACAAAAACUAAUUGGAGUAGAAAUAUGAUUAUGUAAUUCUAAACUUUAUUUAUCAUAAAAAAACAUGGAGUCUAAUUUAAGUGUUUGUAUCUAAAUAAGUUAAUUUUAACCUUCAAUAUUAUAGUAAAGUAGUACCAACUGACUCCCAUGUGUAGUUUACAGCAUUAGUUGAGAGAUUUUUUUCCUCUAGAAAAUUUGCCAUGUACUGUAACCGAUAUACUACAUCCAAAAUAAUCGAUAUCAAAUCGAAAUCGUAAUCGAAUCGAAAGCGAAUCGAAUCCUAUAACCUAUUUGAAACAUCUAAAACACUGAAAAUCCAAAGGGGAAUUUUAUCAUGUUUUCUUUUUUUAGUAUGAGUUUCAAAUAUUCAUGACUUAACAUAACUCUCCCAUAAACCUUGCUAAGUCAGGGUCAAAAGGGGUCUGUAGAUGCCAGUCUGUAGGCUAUACAUAAAUAUGACUUAACUUCAAAUAACUUAAAAUGCAGUAUAAACCAGAUGUUGCAUCAUACAACCAAUCCCAUCUGACAUGCACAGAUGCCAGGUGCACAGCGAGCUGUUUGGCACAUACAAAAAUGAAUUAUUUAUAGAAAUGAAUUAUCUAUGAAAGCAUCUAAUGAGAAAGUAAGGUUAAGAGUAAGAUUUUCAUCCAUCUAAAUAUAGAUUUUCAUUUACAAAAAAAAAAAAAAAAAUACAUAUGGUCAUAGUUGUGUUCAUAUAGGCUACAAUUUACUGUGAAAUAUUGUUGGUUGUUUUAAAUAAAUUAAAAAUUACUAUUUGCGCAGAUACUGUCUACAUAUCAAACAGUCUUGCAAUGCCCUGUGAAGUUCAGUGGUGAAUGCAAGUUAAAAAGACAUGUACUUACAGUGUAAUUACCUAAGAAAAUAAUGGGUUAUUAUUAGGUAACUACAGGGGUUAAGGGUAGAUUUAGGUGUAGGCUCAGGGUUAGUACCCUGUUAUUGUAAUUACUGUAAUAAGUACAUUGUAUGUGUGGGGAACAGGACUGUAAAAUAAAGUGCUACAAAAAGAUCUGAAUAUUUUAAUAUUUAAAAUAUGACCACUUAUGUCAUUAUACACUCUUCAAUAUAUAAAACAAACAAAAAACAAGAAAAAAACAAAUAAAAUUAAUUGAUUGACAAUUAAAUCAAAAUUUGAUAAUAAUGACUGCCCUAGUCACUGUUACGAGUGAAGCAACGACCUGAGCAUGCAGUACAUCAAUGCAGAUGUCUCGGUUUGGCGUCUGUUGCGGCACUAAAAGAGCAACA
Ctenopharyngodon idella (grass carp) is the source of this 5539-nucleotide long non-coding RNA. RefSeq lists it as uncharacterized. The record is from RefSeq and is a predicted model, not a curated record. Lineage: Eukaryota; Metazoa; Chordata; Actinopteri; Cypriniformes; Xenocyprididae. The transcript is spliced from 2 exons.